Molecule: long non-coding RNA, 295 nt
Organism: Pantherophis guttatus
Lineage: Eukaryota; Metazoa; Chordata; Lepidosauria; Squamata; Colubridae
Source: RefSeq, a predicted model, not a curated record
GGGAUUCAGCUGGUUCUGUCUAGAUCUUGUGAACCGGUAGAGGUGACUGCAGAAGGCUCUGCCCACCCGCCCGGACGUAAUGUGUGACUACUGCGCAUGCAGUACGCUUACAUUUGCGAACCAGUAGGGAAGUGGGAUGAAACUGGAGAAUGAACUCAUAUGUCCAAGAACUUUAAGAUGUGCCAAUCACUAAAAAGAUAAAAUGAAUGUUUAAGUGAAGUGGCUAAUUCUGUUGAAUGCUGUUGCCAGUAGUUCAGCAGUUCAAUUCUCACUGGCUCAAGGUUGAUGCAAGGUC